Molecule: long non-coding RNA, 1218 nt
Organism: Leopardus geoffroyi (Geoffroy's cat)
Lineage: Eukaryota; Metazoa; Chordata; Mammalia; Carnivora; Felidae
Exons: 4
Source: RefSeq, a predicted model, not a curated record
CCCAACUGAGGUGCACCUGUUGUUCAGACAAAGUCCAGAUCCCAGUCCUCUGCCUGGCGGUGACCCCUGCCUGGGGUUGACCAGGUCACUCAGGAUGUUUGCGUCCACAGCGAAGUGAACAUUGGACAGGAGGUAACCCCCAGACACCUCAACCUACUCCCAGCUCGCCUCUGUCCAUCCCCCCGAAGAGACAGGUCUGGUAAGCCCUGCAGGUCAGGAACGCCAUGCUGGGACAAAGGAACCUUAUCUUGGGGGCACUGGGGAGCCAUCGCUAUUUGGGGACUGAGGAGUUGUAUGCCCGGAGCUGAGAGCUGAACAGACUGCCCUGGAGCCAGAAAACAGCCAGACAGGCCUGGGCUGAGACCUAGAAGGCAGGCCCUCCUGUGGUUUAUUCAGAACGUCUGCCUACAGAACUAAAGAAGGAUCCAUCCAAGCAAAGACUGGCCUGGGGUGUCCCCUGCAGUACAGUUUAUAAGAACAGAACAACCUGGAUGUCCAUCAAUGAGGGACCCAGUAGAUAAACCAAGGAACUUGACUGCUGCCUGGCUGUAGAUACAGGAACAAAGCAAGUUACAACCUGCUGUGCCACGGGCUCCAUGGACAUGUCUGUCUAGGUUGUGGGAGGUUUGAGUCCUGUGCUCUUGGCCUCAGGUUCCCCAUCGACCAACCGCAAUUUAGCCGGUGUUGCUGAAACUGCGAAGCGACCACGGAGGGCAGUCUGCUGGGGACUGUGGUUUGCCCUAUCUACAAAGUGGGGCCACAGCCUCCCAAAUGGUACCUGCCGCACUGUCCCCAAACCCCUCCUCUGUCAAGCAAACAAUGAUGCUUUCAAAGAUGUGAGUAAACCUCAGUCCUAGUCCGCCCUCCAGCCCACAGGGGAUCCUCUUUUUAUCAACCGUCCCAACCUCACCUCCAGUGCAUUCCUCUUAACUCCUCAAACUCGGGGCCUUCGCCCUUGCCACGCCCUCGGCUGGGAAAACAUCCUUUCCAGGAGGGCCCGGGGCUGACUCUCAGUCUCAGCUCAAAAGUCUGCUCAAUGAGGUCUCACCCCACCCCUGCUCCACCCCAACUUGCAACUAAAUAUCCGUUUGUGGUUUUUCUGGUGGAUUUACGUGCUCCCAAGAAAAGGAGGAUCCCAGGCCGGUCUGUGAAUCCCCCCCUCCGCACAAUGCCUAGGAAACGGCCUGGCAUUCAGUAAAUGUUGAAUAAAUUUUUGCA